CGUGACACAAGCGAAGUGAAAAACUGUGAAGUGUCAUCCGCUGUUAAAAUUGAACACACAAAAUAAAUAAUGCGACUGUAAAAAUUUCAAGUGCCGCCAAAAAAAUAUGAGCAUUCAACAUGUUGUGUAUGUCCGUUGGUGCUAUGAUAAUUGCCGGAGCUCUAGGAUGUAUCGCAAGUUGGCCCUGCCUACUAUCAUGCUGCCUGACACUGCCGUUCCCUAUCCCGUUACUCGUGGUGCAGAUGCCGGGCCGCAAGCCAAGAUGCGACAAGAAGGCACACGACUACAGCGACUCUGACCUCUCUGUCGAAGAAUCUGCAGGCUAAACCAGCCAUUACCUUCGGCUUCGGCGGCACCACUACAGUCCAGUUCUCCACUGUGAAGCACAGAACCUGUGCCGAGAAUGAGAUUGAGUUCUACGGCACCGAUGGCUCCAAAAGACGUCCCGGCUUCAUACGCAAAUUGUGAGUGACCGAUUUGGUUACGAAAUUCCUUGUGCUGCCUGUGUUUUUAACUAUUUUGUUUCUACAAUCUUUAUUUAUACUGAUUAAAAAGAAGAGCAAAGCAA
Molecule: long non-coding RNA, 568 nt
Organism: Plutella xylostella (diamondback moth)
Lineage: Eukaryota; Metazoa; Arthropoda; Insecta; Lepidoptera; Plutellidae
Source: RefSeq, a predicted model, not a curated record